Molecule: ribosomal RNA, 2258 nt
Filed under: marine metagenome
Description: bacterial LSU rRNA
Rfam family: Bacterial large subunit ribosomal RNA
Source: RNAcentral
AGGGCGUGUAGUGGAUGCCUUGGCACUGAAAGCCGAUGAAGGACGUGAUAUACUGCGAUAAGUUUCGGGGAGCUGUAUGUAAGUUUUGAUCCGAAAAUUUCCGAAUGGGGAAACCCACCACUUUAUGUGGUACUUUAAACUGAAUACAUAGGUUUAAAGAGACAACCUGGAGAACUGAAACAUCUAAGUAACCAGAGGAAAAGAAAUCAAUUGAGAUUCCGUUAGUAGUGGCGAGCGAACGCGGAGUAGGCCAGUAGUUUUGUUAGAAAAAUUUGAAUAGUUUGGAAAUGCUAACCAUAGAGGGUGAUAGUCCCGUAUGAGUAAUGUUUAACAAAAUUCUUGAGUAAAGCGGGACACGAGAAAUCCUGCUCGAAUAUAGGGGGACCACCCUCUAAGCCUAAAUACUCUUCAGUGACCGAUAGUGAACUAGUACCGUGAGGGAAAGGUGAAAAGAACCCCUAUUAGGGGAGUGAAAUAGAACCUGAAACUGCAUGCCUACAAUCAGUCGAAGCUCUUUUUAGAGUGACGGCGUACCUUUUGUAUAAUGGGUCAGUGACUUAAUUUAUUAAGCAAGCUUAAGCCAUCUAGGUGUAGGCGCAGCGAAAGCAAGUCUUAAUAGGGCGAUUAGUUUAAUGAAUUAGACCCGAAAACGAAUGAGCUUACCAUGAGCAGGUUGAAAGUUGGGUAACACCAACCGGAGGACCGAACCAGUUGACGUUGAAAAGUCUUUGGAUGACUUGUGGUAAGGGGUGAAAGGCCAACCAAAUUCGUAGAUAGCUGGUUUUCCGCGAAAACUAUUUAGGUAGUGCGUUGAAUAAAUAGAUGUUUAGAGGUAGAGCACUAAAUGGGCUAGGGGGAAGAGAUUCUUACCAAACCUAAUAAAACUCCGAAUGCUAGACAUUGUUCUUCAACAGACAGACUGUGGGUGCUAAGGUCCAUGGUCGAGAGGGAAAGAGCCCAGACCACCAGAUAAGGUCCCCAAAUUAUGAUUAAGUGUGAAAGGAUGUGGAAAUUCCUUAACAGCCGGGAGGUUGGCUUAGAAGCAGCCAUCCUUUAAAGAUAGCGUAACAGCUCACCGGUCUAAUAGAGUUUCUGCGCCGAAGAUGUAACGGGGCUAAAAUCAUAUACCGAAUCUGUGGGUUUAUAAAACUUUCGAGUUUUAUAAGCGGUAGCGGAACGUUCUGUAAGCCUGUGAAGGGAUACCCGUGAGGGAUCCUGGAGGUAUCAGAAGUGCGAAUGCUGACAUAAGUAACGAUAAAAGAAGUGAAAAACUUCUUCGCCGAAAAUCCAAGGGUUUCUGCGCAAGGUUAAUCCGCGCAGAGUUAGUCGGCACCUAAGGCGAGGGCGAAAGCCGUAGUCGAUGGAAAUAAGGUUAAUAUUCCUUAACCAGAUGGUAGUGACGGAUCUUGUAAGUUGUGUACUCUUAAUGGAUUGAGUAUGCCGCGAAAAGGUUCCAAGAAAUAGCUCCAUCAUUAGACCGUACCCUAAACCGACACAGGUGGAUUAAUAGAGUAUAUUUAGGCGCUUGAGAGAAUGAUGUUGAAGGAACUCGGCAAAAUGCUUCCGUAACUUCGGGAUAAGGAAGACCUGUUUUUAGGCAACUAGAGAUGGGUGGCACAAGCCAGGGAGAAGCGACUGUUUAUCAAAAACACAGGGCUCUGCUAACACGUAAGUGGAUGUAUAGGGUCUGACGCCUGCCCGGUGCUGGAAGGUUAAUGCGGUUGGUGCAAGCUAACUUCUGAAGCCCCAGUAAACGGCGGCCGUAACUAUAACGGUCCUAAGGUAGCGAAAUUCCUUGUCGGGUAAGUUCCGACCUGCAUGAAUGGCGUAACGAUUUCUCCGCUGUCUCCAACAUCAACUCAGUGAAAUUGAAUUCUCCGUGAAGAUGCGGAGUUCGCGUAGUUAGACGGAAAGACCCCGUGCACCUUUACUGCAACUUUACAUUGGUAUUAGGAAAAACAUAUUUAGCAUAGGAGGGAGACAUUGAAGCAAAGGCGUCAGCUUUUGUGGAGUCACCAGUGAAAUACCUCUUUUGUUUUUCUUGGUAUCUAACUGAUUGCCGUCAUCCGGCAUCAAGACAUUGUAUGGUGGGUAGUUUGACUGGGGCGGUCGCCUCCCAAAUAGUAACGGAGGCGUGCGAAGGUAGGCUCAGAACGGUCAGAAAUCGUUCGUAGAGUGCAAUGGCAUAAGCCUGCCUGACUGUGAGACUGACAAGUCGAGCAGAGACGAAAGUCGGUCAUAGUGAUCCGGUGGUUCUG